RNAcentral lists this ribosomal RNA (403 nucleotides) under Verrucomicrobiota bacterium. RNAcentral describes it as "Verrucomicrobia bacterium partial 16S ribosomal RNA". It matches the Rfam family "Bacterial small subunit ribosomal RNA", at positions 355 to 776 of the family's 1533-position model. Lineage: Bacteria; Pseudomonadati; Verrucomicrobiota. The record is from RNAcentral.
UGGGGAAUAUUGCACAAUGGGGGAAACCCUGAUGCAGCGACGCCGCGUGAGCGAAGAAGGUUUUCGAAUCGUAAAGCUCUGUCCUAUGAGAAGAUAAUGACGGUAUCAUAGGAGGAAGCCCCGGCUAAAUACGUGCCAGCAGCUGCGGUAAUACGUAUGGGGCGAGCGUUGUCCGGAAUUAUUGGGCGUAAAGGGUACGUAGGCGGUCUAUUAAGUCAGGUGUGAAAGCGUGAGGCUUAACCUCAUUAAGCACUUGAAACUGAUAGACUUGAGUGAAGGAGAGGAAAGUGGAAUUCCUAGUGUAGCGGUGAAAUGCGUAGAUAUUAGGAGGAAUACCGGUGGCGAAGGCGACUUUCUGGACUUUUACUGACGCUCAGGUACGAAAGCGUGGGGAGCAAACAGG